Molecule: long non-coding RNA, 365 nt
Organism: Tachysurus vachellii
Lineage: Eukaryota; Metazoa; Chordata; Actinopteri; Siluriformes; Bagridae
Exons: 3
Source: RefSeq, a predicted model, not a curated record
GUGCGCCAUGUGCCUGUGGAGGUUCCUGACAAAAUUUGCGGUUGUUCAACAUAGUCAUUGAGGGUCAGCCCAGGGAAGACUGUUGCUGUGAUCACAAUGAAUGAUGUCUUUUUUCAUUUGAAGAAAUGAAGAUGGCAGCACCAGGACUGUCCUGCCAAGCUUUUUCAAGAAUGCUGGAUCAGCGAACUGUCCGCUUUGGUCGUACUGGCAAGAUCUCCACAGACAGUUUUCAGAAAAGCUUUUUUGAGUGGGAGGCUGUCCGUUUUGAGGUGGAUAAAAUCUGCAAGGAAGAGCCUUUCAUCUGUCCUGCAUGCACCCCAGAUAUUCUGGCAGUUUCAGUAGAUGGAAACCGCAAGCUUUACCGU